AACGUAGGGUGCAAGCGUUGUCCGGAAUUACUGGGUGUAAAGGGAGCGCAGGCGGACCGGCAAGUUGGAAGUGAAAACUAUGGGCUCAACCCAUAAAUUGCUUUCAAAACUGCUGGCCUUGAGUAGUGCAGAGGUAGGUGGAAUUCCCGGUGUAGCGGUGGAAUGCGUAGAUAUCGGGAGGAACACCAGUGGCGAAGGCGACCUACUGGGCACCAACUGACGCUGAGGCUCGAAAGCAUGGGUAGCAAACAGGAUUAGAUACCCUGGUAGUCCUGACUACU
Molecule: ribosomal RNA, 281 nt
Filed under: Gemmiger formicilis
Lineage: Bacteria; Bacillati; Bacillota; Clostridia; Eubacteriales; Oscillospiraceae
Description: partial 16S ribosomal RNA
Rfam family: Bacterial small subunit ribosomal RNA
Source: RNAcentral